CAUCAGAUGACCGAAAGCAGGUAAUGGUCUCUUAAACCAAUUUAUAGUAAAUAACAACUACUUCUGAUGA
This 70-nucleotide transfer RNA is filed under the name Cryptocercus hirtus. RNAcentral describes it as "tRNA-Lys". The record is from RNAcentral. Lineage: Eukaryota; Metazoa; Arthropoda; Insecta; Blattodea; Cryptocercidae.